Molecule: ribosomal RNA, 664 nt
Filed under: Priestia aryabhattai
Lineage: Bacteria; Bacillati; Bacillota; Bacilli; Caryophanales; Bacillaceae
Description: bacterial SSU rRNA
Rfam family: Bacterial small subunit ribosomal RNA
Source: RNAcentral
UAAGAUUAUGGCUCUGGAUGACCGCUGGCGGCGUUCCUCAUACAUGCCAGUCGUGCGAACUGAUUAGAAGCUUGCUUCUAUGACGUUAGCGGCGGACGGGUGAGUAACACGUGGGCAACCUGCCUGUAAGACUGGGAUAACUUCGGGAAACCGAAGCUAAUACCGGAUAGGAUCUUCUCCUUCAUGGGAGAUGAUUGAAAGAUGGUUUCGGCUAUCACUUACAGAUGGGCCCGCGGUGCAUUAGCUAGUUGGUGAGGUAACGGCUCACCAAGGCAACGAUGCAUAGCCGACCUGAGAGGGUGAUCGGCCACACUGGGACUGAGACACGGCCCAGACUCCUACGGGAGGCAGCAGUAGGGAAUCUUCCGCAAUGGACGAAAGUCUGACGGAGCAACGCCGCGUGAGUGAUGAAGGCUUUCGGGUCGUAAAACUCUGUUGUUAGGGAAGAACAAGUACUGAGAGUAACUGCUCGUACCUUGACGGUACCUAACCAGAAAGCCACGGCUAACUACGUGCCAGCAGCCGCGGUAAUACGUAGGUGGCAAGCGUUAUCCGGAAUUAUUGGGCGUAAAGCGCGCGCAGGCGGUUUCUUAAGUCUGAUGUGAAAGCCCACGGCUCAACCGUGGAGGGUCAUUGGAAACUGGGGAACUUGAGUGCAGAAGAG